RNAcentral lists this ribosomal RNA (679 nucleotides) under bacterium enrichment culture clone D11_2.D8_089 (3/59). RNAcentral describes it as "bacterial SSU rRNA". It matches the Rfam family "Bacterial small subunit ribosomal RNA", at positions 98 to 771 of the family's 1533-position model. The record is from RNAcentral.
GCGGACGGGUGAGUAACGCGUGGGAAUCUACCCUUUAGUUGGGGACAACAUAUGGAAACGUAUGCUAAUACCGAAUAUGCUCUACGGAGUAAAGGUGCCCUCUCCUUGGAAGGUAUCGCUAAAGGAUGAGCCCGCGUUAGAUUAGCUAGUUGGUAAGGUAAAGGCUUACCAAGGCGACGAUCUAUAGCUGGUUUGAGAGGAUGAUCAGCCACACUGGGACUGAGACACGGCCCAGACUCCUACGGGAGGCAGCAGUGGGGAAUAUUGCACAAUGAGGGAAACCUUGAUGCAGCCAUGCCGCGUGUGUGAAGAAGGCCCGAGGGUUGUAAAGCACUUUCAAUUGUGAGGAAGAUUAAGUAGCUAAUACCUGCUUAGUUUGACGUUAACUUUAGAAGAAGCACCGGCUAACUCUGUGCCAGCAGCCGCGGUAAUACAGAGGGUGCAAGCGUUAUUCGGAAUUACUGGGCGUAAAGCGCGCGUAGGCGGACUGUUAAGUCGGUUGUGAAAGCCCUGGGCUCAACCUAGGAACUGCAUCCGAUACUGGCAAUCUAGAGUUUAAGAGAGGGAAGUGGAAUUCCAGGUGUAGCAGUGAAAUGCGUAGAUAUCUGGAGGAACAUCAGUGGCGAAGGCGACUUCCUGGCUUAAAACUGACGCUGAGGUGCGAAAGCUUGGGUAGCGA